CAUCGACCAUGUACGCAUGCACGCGUACUCGAGCGCACGCACGCACGAGCAUAUCUUUGUUUUCUUCAAGACGCACGUAGAGGUCGUCUUGUGGAGUGCACGCCUUCUAACAAGCGGGGGCACACCACCAGCACCACCACCGCCGCCGCCACCCCUCUGAUCGCACCUCUGAGUGAUCACUUGGGCGUGAGUGUGAGGGUGCGCGUGCGUCCCUCGUUGUGGCGCCUCCGCCUCGCCGCACCCUUCCCUGUCUCUUUUCUCGAUGUCGCGUACCUUCGUCGAAGACAACGGCUGCGAGCGCCCGAGCAGCGCCGGACAGCGGGUGUACGUGAACAACAUGAACACGCUGCAAGCCACCACCUCCCUGCCGGAGCGGACGCCGUACAGCCUACUUGAGCGCAACACGGAAGCCCCUGGCUCGUCGACCGCCAACUACGUCGGCUCUCGUCUUGCGCCUAUCAGCUCCCCUCGCAGCGGGCGGGGCCCCGACGGAGCGGCAGGCGAACUGCAGCAAAGUCGACCGGCGCAGCGCGCCUUCGCGGGUAGCGGGAGCGCGGUAGAGCAGCGGCGCGGCGCGGAGCCUCUCACCGCCAACGGCGAGGCAGUGCACGCAAACUUGCAAGACGUCUACAGCCGCAUCAUGCGGCGGCUGCAGCGUCAGAUGAACUACGCUGAAGUGUCCCGCGCUUCUCUGGCGGAGCAGUACGGCGUAGACCUGCAGAUGGCGUAUGAGGAGGACCAGCAGGAGCUGAAGGCAGCGGACACGGCGCCUCAGCGAACCACAAAGCAUCGUUGCCGCACCUCGCCGUCCCGCCCGCCGGCCUCGACCUCCUCCUCUCCCAUUCACCCAGUCCCCUGUGAGAGCGAGGCGAACACCGUUAGUCGGCCAAGCCCCCGCCUUUUCACAGGCUGCCACGUGAGCACAAAUACCACCAAGGUACCUGAGUACGACUCACCGGGGCCACGGGGCGAAACCCCCAUCUCAGCACGCGCCGGCGGUAGAAGUUCUUCGCGGCUGAUUCAAUUUAAGGUGGACGUCAGCUCACGCACCUCCGGCGCCGUGGGCGGCAUUGCCGCACCGGCGGCGAUGGACAUGAGCGAUGCGUCGGGUGCUGCGGCACCGGCGGCGGAGGAGAGCAGGCUGGAGCGCGACAUCGCCGCGCAGCCCUGCCCCCUCCCAUUGCGGCUCGUCAUUCAGCAUGUGUUGGACACCUUGCAGAAGAAGAUGUCACUCGCCGAGGGUGGAUCGCUUAAGGACUGCAUCGUCUUCUCCUUCGAGUCGCGCGCGUUGCUGGACCGGCUUCUGAAGGAAAUUCCGCUCUACUCGCAGUACAGCGUGAGCCAAGACACGGCGGCAGUGGCAGGGGCCGCCCAGCAGGACAUGGCGCUUGUGUAUCAGAAGCUUCGCCAGAAGCCGGUGUUGCUGCCUCGCGCCGGCUACGUGGAGGACCCUGUCACCGGCGCGAUACACGGGCAGAUCUUGGGCGGAGGUGCCGUACAGAGCGAGUCCGUGCGCGCUUCAGCAGUGGCCGCUCCGACUGCCGCCGUAUCACUUCCCGCUAUCGUCAACGCGUCGAGGAGCUUCAAUCCCGGCGGCGCCGCGCCACUUGGCGCCCUCACAGUCGGCACAGGUGCGAUGAGUGGUGGCGUGCAGCUGCCGUCUGGCUACGGCAAGUCGUCACGGCUCAACGAUGCGACGCUGCAGAGCGGGGCCGCGGCUGGAUACGGCGACCGUCAGCACCAGCAUCAGUUGCUGCGGGAUCACAUGAAAGGGGGCAGCGGUGCUGGCGGUGGAAGCUCCGCAUCCAUAAGUGAUGCUGUAUCCGCGCAGAACUCAGUCACGGCGAUGAUGGAGUCUGCCGUGGCAUCGGUGGCGUCGCCACCGGUGUUUGAGGCUGCUCAUCGCGCGACGCGCCUUGUGAGCGUUGGCACCGUGACCGAGGAAAACAAUCUAACCACGGUGCCGAAAGCCGACUACGCGGCAUUGCAGCAGCGGAUGGAGGCGCUUGAGGUGCAGCUGGCUGAUGCGCAGAUGCACCGCAGCGCCCUUGCUGAUCAGCUGUGCGAGGAGCUGCAGUACACCGAGAAGAAGAAGCGCGUGCUGCAGUACUUGCGAGAGACACUCGUGCGGGAGUGCACCAUGCUCCGCUCCCAGUUGCGCUUGGCAUCAGGGCGGGUGCAGCUGCUGCAACAGCAACAGCACUCGCCGCCCCAGCCCCUCCGCGGGGUGAUGGUCUCCUCUGGCGCCAACGACGCGCAUAGCGAGGGCCCCAACGCCUCCGUCUUCGGCGCCACCACGCGCAUGUACAAGCAGCUGGGCGCGAGUACCGUGUCGCCCAUGACGCUAUCACUAUCUGCAGAUGUGCAUGGGCAGCAGCACCGCCGAUAUUCGCAGCGGCCUUUAACACACCGUAUGAGCUUCAGCGAAAGUAUUGGGAGUGUUUACGGCGGUACCAGCGGUUGUGGUCGUGGGCGAUUGGCGACGAUGCAGCGGCACACGAGCGGCGGAUGCACCUCUCUCGGCGCGAGCCUCUCAGCCGCUCCGCCGGGAGUAAGUGUCUCUGCUACAGGUAUCUCUUCCUUCACCGUCGUCGGCAGCUGCGUUGCUACUGGAGUGACGGCGGAUGGCCAGCAGCCAAACGACCUGGAGGCGGUACAAAGUCUUCUAGACCUGGUGCUGCUUGCCGUCGAGGAGGAUGCGGUGCUGCCCUCGCACACGCUGCAGAUGGUGCGCAGCGGGCACGCGGACGUUGAGGCGGUCAAAAACGCUUUUAGCAAGGAUGAGAAACGGCAGCUCGAUGAGCUGCGCAACAAGUACGACGAGCGGCAGUACGCGGUGAAGAAGAGCAUGAUCAUGCGCACCGCUGAGCAUAACUACCUCAUCGCGGAGCAGAAGCACGAGGUGCAACGGCUGCAGGCACUGACAGACACGACGCGGGUUCGCGCCAUCCUUCAGCAACACGUCUCCGACCUCCGCACGGAGCUGCAGCAGAUGCGCAUGUACAUUACGGAGCAGAUUCAUUUCUUUAAGACGGUCAUACAGAACACGGCGCAGAGCCUGCUCCGUCGCUCCGUUCUUGCGGAUAAGACGCUCAGCGAGAACCUGAUCCUCACCAACGUCGUCAGCGCCUCGCGGGAGAUGGUCGAGUCGGCCGGCGCGCUGUUCAUGCCGAUGCUCACGAACGAGUACUGCUGCGGCUAUCACCCAUGGCCGCUGAAGCUGCGCAACACCACCGACCCUCUUGCCCACAUCAUCCACCUUCGCUACGGUGCCGGCGAGGUGAUCCGCCUGCGCGACUCGCUCAACGUUUUCGCCCAGCUGUACGGCGCACUGCACCGCUACAUUCUGCGCCAGAUAGUCUUGCCUGAUAGCACACGUCCGUCGGCCGGCAAGCCUCUGCAGCACCUUUGUGCGGCGCUGGCGCUGAACCCCAUGAGCCACACGGAGGUCGUCUUCGCCGUUCGCCACGCGUACGACACGGAGAUGCAGCUGUGCAAGCGACUCGCGCGGUACAACCUGCGACUCAUGUGGAACGCGUAUCUGCAGCGCGUCUACACCAAUCGCUCUGUCGCGGCCCUCGCCGAAGCUUGCCUGAACCCGCGGCUAGCAGCACUGCCAGUCGCAGGUCGCAUCAACGUCCUGGCUAAGGAGCGGGCGGCGCUGCUUCAGGAGCGUGUGAAGGUGCAGCGAGAACGCGCCGAAAACGCGAAGAGCACGUAUCGCUUGUGGCAGGAGAAGGAGAUCGAUAUCAUGGAGGGCUAUCCAACGCCGCAGACGCAGCGCAAUCGACUCGCACUGCUGACCGGCGAUGCCGCUGGUGGCAGCAAUGCCAUGGGUGUUGACGUGGGCGGCAACGCGCUGGGCGGCGCGAUGCAGGGCCACUCUAGCAUGGCUACUAUGGGGCACUUUUCAAGGGCGCUCGGCCGCACCACCACGGACCGCAGCGAAGGCGCCGGAGCGGUAGCCAUGUAAAAUGGACGCGCGUGGGGGGAAAGGGUCAGACCGCGGUCAAGUAUGAUCUAGUGGUAUCGCAGGUGCCGUUGGUGCCAUGCCCCCCCCCCGCCCAGUAUUUCUGGGAAACCUUCUCCCCUGCCCCACACCCCCACCGGUGGCACGUGUCGUGUCGUGUAUAUGUGCGUGCUCUUGCGCUGAGGUUGCCCUUCUGCGGCCCGCUUCCAGCCGCAGCCGUGCACCUGCCCUUUCCCUUUCUCCCUUGUGCGUGGUCAUGAUCAUCGUCCUCGCUGUCGCUACUCUUGUUCGUGUGAGACUUUCUCACGAUGAUGGCACCAACAGCAGCCGACCAUUCGAAGCAUGGCAAUAGCUGAUGCCAAGGAUGUAUAUUAGGAGCAUCAGCUCCGCGUCUGUGUGUAUGUGUGUGUGUGUGUGUGUUAUUGUGUCGCUGCAGCUUCCCCCCCCCGUCUCUUUAUGUCUUCUCUGCGACGGUCUUGAGGGAACGCCUCUAAUGCACACGUGCGCACAAAAGCGGGUCCGGCGCGAGCUGCCCGCCCACCCCACUGCCCCCCCUUCCCCCAUCCAAACACAUGCAUGGCAAGCCCCGCCCUCCAGCAAGACAGUGUUUCAGAGACGUCUCCGCGAUGCGGCCAACUCUCUCCCGUCUGCGCGACGCGGACCAUCACCUGGCGCGCUGCAUCGGAAUGUGUGUGUGUGUGUGUGUGUGUGUGUGCGGAUCAGACGUGGCAGUUCGAUGCGGCUACCCGUUCACCAUAUGAUGAGGCGCUUCCUCCUCCGCCAUUUUGCUCUCCCUCGCGACGUUACCGCCGCCCUCUUCACCAGCGCGCCAGAAGAAGCUCCGCCGCCCGCCAUCCACCUCCUCUCCCUUUAUCGUAG
This 4849-nucleotide unclassified non-coding RNA is filed under the name Leishmania donovani. RNAcentral's name for it is "gene:LdHU3.13.0920(CDS-product:hypothetical_prote in_conserved)". Lineage: Eukaryota; Euglenozoa; Kinetoplastea; Trypanosomatida; Trypanosomatidae. The record is from RNAcentral.